UUCUUUCAUCAUCUCUAAAAAAACACAAACUCUCUCUCUACUUCCUUCUACAAAUCCCAGCGGCAGGACUCACUUUGUCUCUCUAGAGUUUCAGUUGGCAGUGAAAUAAGCACAAUCUUCCUCCUCUCCUUCUAAUCGUAGCUGUUUUUUCCAACUUCUGCCUCCGAUACUCCGUUCUCGAGUGCUAACAACCUCCAAUCAUCCAUUGAGCAUUGGAUCUAUGAUCCUCAUCACGAAAAAUCGUCGAUUAAGUUGGAUUAUUUUGAGCUCUGACCACGUACCCAUCAACCACCGCGCCGGAAUUGGUCGCUCGAUGGCGCCUCCGUGGGUAUGAAUUUUUUUAUGAAAUUCUUGUAUUAUUCUUUUUCUAUUUAAGUUAUUAAAUUAAUUUUAAAUUUUCUACUAACUGAUUUUUUCUUGGUUGAGCUCAAGAAUGACAAAAUGAAAGCUAUUGAAACUAAAUUACUGACUACUUGUUAGAUUUUUAGAUAUUAGAUUAGAUUGUAAUAUACCCUAAUCUCACCACUUUGUUAUUUUUUAAAGGGUUAAUAGGCCUUUACCUCCUGUAAAUUGGGUCACUUUUGGUUUUGCCUCCUGUAAAAAACUUUAUAAAUUUUUUUUUUUUGUUUUGGAAAACUCCCUUAGACCAACUGACUGUGCAUUUUUGCUGAUGUGGCGCGUUGACUGUAUAAUUAUUUUCAUGGGGUACAAGUGACAUUUAUGAUUUUUUUUUACAAAUAAAAAAUUCUUAAAAAAUUUAAAAAAACGAAAAAAUAUUAUAAAAAAUAAAAUAAAUUCUGGAAAAAUAAAAAUAUUAAUAAAAAUGAUUAAAAAAACGAAAAUAAUUAUGGAAAAAUAAAUAAAAAUCUGGAAAAUUUUAAAAAUUCUAGUAAAAUUUAAUAAAAAAAUCUGGAAAAAUAAAAAAAAUUUAUCAAAAUUUUCAAAAAAAUUAUUUAAAAAAAUCUGAAUUAAAUUAAAAUUAUAAAAAAAAUUAAUAUAUAUCGAAAUUCUAUUCUUCAUGAUCUAAUGUUAUGUUUUUUUAAUUAUGAAUAUACUUUCCAAUAUUUUUAUUUUCUGUAUAAAAAAUAAAAAAAAUAAACUUUUUAAUUUCGAAAGAAGAAACUGAACUUUCAUUUUUAAUUCUAUUCUUAUUAGAUUCAUAAAUUUUGAAAUAUUUUAAGUUGCUGAAUUUUUAUUUUUUUAUAAAAUAAAACUUCUUAAUUUCGAAAAAAAAAAUAUGAAUUUUUUUUAUUUUUCCAGAAUUUUUAAAUUUUUCCUCUAUUGAAAAUUAUAUGGAAAUAUGAAUUUUUUGAAAUAUAUUAAUUUUUCCAGAUAUUAUUUUAUUAAAUUUUCUAUAUUUUUUUCAUUUUACCAGAUUUUUUAAAUUAUUCCAGUAUUUUUUUUACUAAAUUUUCUAUAUUUUUUCAUUAUUUUUCAUUUACCAGAUUUUUAUUAAUUUUUCCAUAAUUAUUUUCGUUUUUUAAUCAUUUUUAUUAAUAUUUUUAUUUUUCUAGAAUUUAUUUCAUUUUUUUAUAAUAUUUUUUCGUUUUUUUUAAUUUUUUUAAUUUUUUAAAAAAAAUAAUCAUUAAUGCCACGUGUACCCCAUAAAAAAAUUAUACAGUCAGCGUGCCACGUCAUCCAAAAAGGGUGACGCAGCAUGCCACAUCAGCAAAAAUGCACAAUUAGCUAGUCUAGGGGGGUUUUCCAAAACAAAAAGUUUUUACAAGGACCGAAUCCAAAUUUUUUUUUUUACAGGGGGCAAAACCAAAAGUAAAUAUUACAGGGAGUUAAAGGAGUUAAAGCCCUGUUAACCCUUUUUUAAAUAAUGAAGUUUAAUUUAUUGAUAAGGGAAUUAAUCAAGAGAAUUAGUAAUCGAAAAAGAAAAUACUAAACAAAACACAUCCCAAUUUUGUGCUUCUUGCCCAUUACUUAAUUAUAUGCAUCGCAACACAUUAUGAGUAUCUUUGGCUCACUCAUUAAUAGAAAAUGUUUAUUUGAUACCAAGUCAAAAUACUUUUGAUUAGCUUAUAAAUAUUUUUACUGAAAAUAGUGUUUUAUUACUAACUCUUGUAUCCUCAUAUACUUUUUUGUGUAUGCAUAUACAGUUUUAAGCUAGCUCUCUACACUUGUUUGAAUAUGAGCACCUGAUUUAAAUCUAACUAACCAUAUUUAAUUUAAUUUAAUUGAUUAGAUGCUUGUGGAAGGUAAAUAAACACAAUUCAAAACAGUUUAGGAUUGACCCUCCAUCACUUUUAUAUUACAUAUGAAUCAAGUUUUAUUGCAUUGAAAUGAGCAGAAAUGUGAAAAUACCUUCAGGCUUUUGCUAAAACACCUGUUAACAACCUAAAUUAUUUUUGUUGGAAUUUCAAAAGGGUUUAAUUGGUUCAUCGAAUUGGUAUCUCUCUCUCAAGUUCCAAAUCCAACCAAAAGAUAUAGAAAGGGCAUUCGACUUCAAGGUUUUUUUUCUUCUGCCAUAAACCAACUACAGACUAACAAAUAUAUUCAUGUAUGCUUCUUUUAUGGCAUUCAACUGUGUUAAAAAGUGUGCGUAUGUAUUAUUGCUUAAAAUCAUUGUUUAUUUGAGUAGGUGAUGAAGAGAUACAACAUUAUUUAUAAUCAAUGUUGAUUUAAUAUUUUUUUUCUCUAACUCAUUACCAAACCCUGUAAAGUUACUUCUCAACUUUUAAAAUAAAUAAAAUGAUAUUAUGCUUAAAAAUCAUUCUUUUUGCUCAGAUUGCAUAAAAAAACAUAAAAAGUCACAAAUUUUCUUUAUUCUCUUUAAUACAUUUGUCCGUUAACUUGCAUUUUGUACAGUUGAGCAAAAAUAUUGCUUCCUUAGUAGAAUCUUUGGUAUUUGAAGACCAAAGACUUCCUAUAGUAUCUAGUGAUUAAAAUUUCAAAACCUUGAUUACUUCAGGUCCAUCGGUGAUACGAAAUUAUGGGUAGGUUAUUAUGAUAUAUGCAGCUAUGAAGGAUUCUAUUGUGAAAACCCACCAGGUAACAAAUUCGCUAUUGCUUAAGCCUCAAUUGAUUUCAAUAGUUUCCAACUAAAUGCUCCUACCCUUGAUGGUUUUAUUAAUAAACUUCCUGAUGUUACUCUUAUUUUAUCCAUGCAAAUACCACCAAUUUCAUUGGCACAAUCACAUCUCAAAUCACCAAACUUCCUUAUCUUUAUGAACAAUUUCAAUAGUUGUUAUGGGCAUGAACUCUUAUCUUGCACAUAUACAAUUUAAAAAGAAACAAUUUUCAUUUGCUAAAUUUCAGCCUGAAUUCAUUGUAGGUUUAUAUUUUAAAGCUUGUUGAUGAACGCAAUGCUAUUUUUGAAAAUGUUGGGAUUUGAGAAUGUGGCGAAGAAUGAAAGGAACAAAGGAUUUUAGAAUAGUAAUGAUGAACAAAAACAUUAAGUUUUCAUUUUCUAUCCAAUACUUCU
This 3430-nucleotide long non-coding RNA is filed under the name Medicago truncatula (barrel medic). Its description in RNAcentral is "long non-coding RNA (MTRU_LNC001523)". The record is from RNAcentral. Lineage: Eukaryota; Viridiplantae; Streptophyta; Magnoliopsida; Fabales; Fabaceae.